RNAcentral lists this ribosomal RNA (497 nucleotides) under uncultured bacterium. Its description in RNAcentral is "partial 16S ribosomal RNA". It matches the Rfam family "Bacterial small subunit ribosomal RNA", at positions 28 to 507 of the family's 1533-position model. The record is from RNAcentral.
GAUGAACGCUGGCGGCGUGCCUAAUACAUGCAAGUCGAGCGAACGGACGAGAAUCUUGCUUCUCUGAUGUUAGCGGCGGACGGGUGAGUAACACGUGGAUAACCUACCUAUAAGACUGGGAUAACUUCGGGAAACCGUAGCUAAUACCGGAUAAUAUUUUGAACCGCAUGGUUCAAAAGUGAAAGACGGUCUUGCUGUCACUUAUAGAUGGAUCCGCGCUGCAUUAGCUAGUAGGUAAGGUAACGGCUUACCAAGGCAACGAUGCAUAGCCGACCUGAGAGGGUGAUCGGCCACACUGGAACUGAGACACGGUCCAGACUCCUACGGGAGGCAGCAGUAGGGAAUCUUCCGCAAUGGGCGAAAGCCUGACGGAGCAACGCCGCGUGAGUGAUGAAGGUCUUCGGAUCGUAAAACUCUGUUAUUAGGGAAGAACAUAUGUGUAAGUAACUGUGCACAUCUUGACGGUACCUAAUCAGAAAGCCACGGCUAACUACGUG